Molecule: ribosomal RNA, 232 nt
Filed under: uncultured bacterium
Lineage: Bacteria
Description: partial 16S ribosomal RNA
Rfam family: Bacterial small subunit ribosomal RNA
Source: RNAcentral
CGGACGGGUGAGUAAUGUCUGGGAAACUGCCUGAUGGAGGGGGAUAACUACUGGAAACGGUAGCUAAUACCGCAUAACGUCGCAAGACCAAAGAGGGGGACCUUCGGGCCUCUUGCCAUCGGAUGUGCCCAGAUGGGAUUAGCUAGUAGGUGGGGUAACGGCUCACCUAGGCGACGAUCCCCAGCUGGUCUGAGAGGAUGACCAGCCACACUGGAACUGAGACACGGUCCAG